CCCUUAGAUGUUCUGGGCUGCACGCGCGCUACACUGAAGCGUUCAACGAGUAUUCACCUUGCCCGGGAGGGUUGGGUAAUCUUUUGAAAACGCUUCGUGAUGGGGAUAGAUUAUUGCAAUUAUUAAUCUUCAACGAGGAAUUCCUAGUAAGCGCGAGUCAUCAGCUCGUGCUGAUUACGUCCCUGCCCUUUGUACACACCGCCCGUCGCUACUACUGAUUGGACGUUUAAGCAAGAUUUUUAAACACUGACAGUUAAUGGCUUCGGCCAAGACACAGUGAGAAGAAGAAGAUCGAGCUUACUUGUCUAGAGGAAGUAAAAGUCGUAACA
Molecule: ribosomal RNA, 329 nt
Filed under: uncultured eukaryote
Lineage: Eukaryota
Description: partial 18S ribosomal RNA
Rfam family: Eukaryotic small subunit ribosomal RNA
Source: RNAcentral